RNAcentral lists this ribosomal RNA (465 nucleotides) under uncultured bacterium. RNAcentral describes it as "partial 16S ribosomal RNA". It matches the Rfam family "Bacterial small subunit ribosomal RNA", at positions 338 to 795 of the family's 1533-position model. The record is from RNAcentral.
CCUACGGGUGGCUGCAGUGGGGAAUUUUCCGCAAUGCUCGAAAGAGUGACGCAGCGACGCCGCGUGAAGGAUGAAGGUCUUCGGGUCGUAAAGUUCUUUUGUCAGGGAAGAAAAUGUUUAAUAGUAACUGAUUAUGUCUUGACGGUACCUGUUUAAGCAGUGACGGCUAACUCUGUGCCAGCAGCCGCGGUAAUACGUAGGGGGCGAGCGUUGUUCGGAGUGAUUGGGCGUAAAGAGCACGUAGGCGGUGUUAUAAGUCAUUAGUCAAAGACUAGAGCUCAACUUUAGUAAGGCUUGUGAUACUGGAAGACUAGAGUAACAUAGAGGAUAGCAGAAUUCCUGGUGUAGCGGUGAAAUGCGUAGAUAUCAGGAAGAAUACCGUUAGCGAAGGCAGCUAACUGGCUAGAAACUGACGCUGAGGUGCGAAAGCGUGGGUAGCAAACAGGAUUAGAUACCCUAGUAGUC